UUUGGAAUUGAACAAGUUGGUCAAGCCAUCAGCCUCCUCAGUCUCCAGUGGAGACUCUCCACCCCUUGACGUCUCCAUCUUGUUCAAUACACGCUCUUUUGCACGACGAAUUCAAUUUGAAUUUAUACUGAUAAGUCUGAUGACUCGUUGUUUUACAAUUUUGUGUGCAGUUUAAAACACUAGUAAACGACUUGCAAAGACCAAAUAACCUUUCUCUCCCUCUCUCUCUGGAGAUUUUCUAGUGUGCACCAGUGGCGGUGUAUGCAUCCACGAUCAUUGAAUUCUUUAACUGUUGGUUCAUUGACUUUACAUCUAAAGCUCCAUUCAUCUUGAACAUGUCAAACAGAUAACGGUGAAGAUGUACCUUCGAAGAUUCCAAAUUUCUCAUCAAGGUGGUGUUGAUCUGAUACUUUUUACAGAAUCUUUUUGAGAUAAUAUAGGAGCAGAAUUUAUGGUUACUGUGAAGGGAAUCAGCAACCUAUGCGAAGGGAGAUCGCUGAGGCUGCAACUGAACAAGGAUCAUAAAUGCCUACAAGGACGCACACCAGAAGGAGGAUGUCCAGUCAAGUAAAAUGCAAACAACUCGAAACUAUGCAAAAUACGCUCUUCAAGUAAUAACGUAACUAGAAACUGAUAUACAUGUUGCUCUUGAC
Molecule: long non-coding RNA, 653 nt
Organism: Pyrus x bretschneideri (Chinese white pear)
Lineage: Eukaryota; Viridiplantae; Streptophyta; Magnoliopsida; Rosales; Rosaceae
Exons: 3
Source: RefSeq, a predicted model, not a curated record